GACGAACGCUGGCGGCGUGCUUAACACAUGCAAGUCGAACGGAAAGGCCCUGCUUUUGUGGGGUGCUCGAGUGGCGAACGGGUGAGUAACACGUGAGUAACCUGCCCUUUACUUUGGGAUAACUUCAGUAAACUGGGGCUAAUACCGGAUAUGAGCUCCUGCUGCAUGGUGGGGGUUGGAAAGUUUCGGCGGUUGGGGAUGGACUCGAGGCUUAUCAGCUUGUUGGUGGGGUAGUGGCUUACCAAGGCUUUGACGGGUAGCCGGACUGAGAGGGUGACCGGCCACAUUGGGACUGAGAUACGGGCAAGACUCAUACGGGAGGAAGCAGUGGGGAAUAUUGCAAAAUGGGCGGAAGCAUGAUGCAGCAACGCCGCGUGCGGGAUGACGGCCUGCGGGUUGUAAACCGCGUUAGCCUGUGAAGAAGAGUGAGUGACGGUAAUGGGUAAAGAAGCAACGGCUAACUACGUG
Molecule: ribosomal RNA, 468 nt
Filed under: uncultured bacterium
Lineage: Bacteria
Description: partial 16S ribosomal RNA
Rfam family: Bacterial small subunit ribosomal RNA
Source: RNAcentral